RNAcentral lists this small nuclear RNA (131 nucleotides) under Rhinolophus ferrumequinum (greater horseshoe bat). RNAcentral's name for it is "U4 spliceosomal RNA (ENSRFEG00010011472.1)". It matches the Rfam family "U4 spliceosomal RNA". Rfam says of the family: U4 small nuclear RNA (U4 snRNA) is a component of the major U2-dependent spliceosome. The record is from Rfam by way of RNAcentral. Lineage: Eukaryota; Metazoa; Chordata; Mammalia; Chiroptera; Rhinolophidae.
AGAUUUGAGCAGUGGCAGUAUCAUAGCCAAUGAGGUUUAUCCGAGACAUGAUUAUUGCUAAUUGAAAACUAAAACAUCAAUUUUAAUUUUCUUUUGAGUAUAUCUGUCACCUCUAUAACUGUAAUUGUUCA